GCCUCCACUUCCGGAAACAAAACGGGCAACGAGGGAGCUGCCUGAAUCGGCGACAGAGUAGACCGUAUGAUGCAGGAGGACGGAGGAGCCCAGCGGGGGAAGGAAGCGCUGCCUGAGAGGAGGAGGUCCUGACGCGGCUUCCCCUGGAGACGGUGGGGAAAGGUCGGGAGGCUCCGGAGCUGCAGGAGGGAUGAGCCCAUGGGGACCGCGGGAAAGGCGGCUGCCUGGAGGGCAAUGCGGGGAGGAGGAAACGGGAGGAGUCCACGAGACAGGCCAGGAGGGCGGAAGGUCCUUCCGAAGACCCGGGAAUCCCCAAAGGAUCCAGAAGGGAGGAAAAGAAUAUCAGUGCUCGGAAUGUGAAAAAUCCUUCAAGAAAAAGGACCCUUUUCAGAGCCAUUUAAGGGUCCAUUCACGAGAGGAACCAUUUAAGUGCCAGGAGUGUGGAAAGAACUUCAGUCGGAGGGGCAACCUUUAUAGACAUCAAAGCAUCCAUUUGAGAGAGAGAUUGAAGAAAUGCCUGGAGGGCGGAGGGUCCUUUGGGAGACCAGGAAGGCCCCGAAGGAUCCAGGAGGGAGGUAUGAAAUACAAAUGUCCAGAAUGUAAAAACUUAUUCGGGAGAAAUGACCAUCUUCAAGGCCAUCUAAGGGUUCAUUCAGGAGAGAAACCUCAUAAAUGCCUGGAUUGUGAAAAGAGC
Thamnophis elegans (Western terrestrial garter snake) is the source of this 694-nucleotide long non-coding RNA. RefSeq lists it as uncharacterized. The transcript is spliced from 2 exons. The record is from RefSeq and is a predicted model, not a curated record. NCBI's taxonomy places the organism in Eukaryota, Metazoa, Chordata, Lepidosauria, Squamata, Natricidae.